GAGGGUUGAUAGGUUAAGAGCUAGUUAACUGGACGUUACCCACAGAAGAAGCACCGGCUAACUCCGUGCCAGCAGCCGCGGUAAUACGGAGGGUGCGAGCGUUAAUCGGAAUUACUGGGCGUAAAGAGUGCGUAGGUGGUUAAUUAAGUUAUGUGUAAAAUCCCUGGGCUCAACCUGGGCAGGUCAUAUAAUACUGAUUAACUCGAGUAUGGGAGAGGGUAGUGGAAUUUCCGGUGUAGCGGUGAAAUGCGUAGAGAUCGGAAGGAACACCAGUGGCGAAGGCGGCUACCUGGCCUAAUACUGACACUGAGGCACGAAAGCGUGGGGAGCAAACAGGAUUAGAUACCCUGGUAGUCCACGCCGUAAACGAUGUCAACUAGCUGUUGGUUAUAUAAAUAUAAUGCGUUUGCUCUUAACCUAUCAACCCUCA
RNAcentral lists this ribosomal RNA (430 nucleotides) under uncultured Legionella sp. Its description in RNAcentral is "bacterial SSU rRNA". It matches the Rfam family "Bacterial small subunit ribosomal RNA", at positions 440 to 868 of the family's 1533-position model. Lineage: Bacteria; Pseudomonadati; Pseudomonadota; Gammaproteobacteria; Legionellales; Legionellaceae. The record is from RNAcentral.